CGUUAAAUCGACCGCCUGGGAGUACGGCGCAAGGUUAAAACUCAAAUGAAUUGACGGGGGCCCGCACAAGCGGUGGAGCAUGUGGUUUAUUUCGAUGCAACGCGAAGAACCUUACCUACUCUUGACAUCCAGAGAACUUGGCAGAGAUGCCUUGGUGCCUUCGGGAACUCUGAGACAGGUGCUGCAUGGCCGUCGUCAGCUCGUGUUGUGAAAUGUUGGGUUAAGUCCCGCAACGAGCGCAACCCUUAUCCUUUGUUGCCAGCGAUUCGGUCGGGAACUCAAAGGAGACUGCCAGUGAUAAACUGGAGGAAGGUGGGGAUGACGUCAAGUCAUCAUGGCCCUUACGAGUAGGGCUACACACGUGCUACAAUGGCGUAUACAAAGAGAAGCGACCUCGCGAGAGCAAGCGGACCUCAAAAAGUACGUCGUAGUCCGGAUUGGAGUCUGCAACUCGACUCCAUGAAGUCGGAAUCGCUAGUAAUCGUAGAUCAGAAUGCUACGGUGAAUACGUUCCCGGGCCUUGUACACACCGCCCGUCACACCAUGGGAGUGGGUUGCAAAAGAAGUAGGUAGCUUAACCUUCGGGAGGGCGCUUACCACUUUGUGAUUCAUGACUGGGGUGAAGUCGUAACAAGGUAACCAAGGGCGAAUUCCAG
Molecule: ribosomal RNA, 656 nt
Filed under: uncultured Serratia sp.
Lineage: Bacteria; Pseudomonadati; Pseudomonadota; Gammaproteobacteria; Enterobacterales; Yersiniaceae
Description: bacterial SSU rRNA
Rfam family: Bacterial small subunit ribosomal RNA
Source: RNAcentral